UGAGGAAUAUUGGACAAUGGGCGCAAGCCUGAUCCAGCCAUGCCGCGUGCAGGAAGAAGCAUCUAUGGUGUGUAAACUGCUUUUGUACGGGAAGAAACACUCCUACGUGUAGGAGCUUGACGGUACCGUAAGAAUAAGGAUCGGCUAACUCCGUGCCAGCAGCCGCGGUAAUACGGAGGAUGCAAGCGUUAUCCGGAAUCAUUGGGCUUAAAGGGUCCUUAGGCGGUUUAAUAAGUCAGUGGUGAAAGCCCAUCGCUCAACGAUGGAACGGCCAUUGAUACUGUUAGACUUGAAGUACAAAGAAGUAACUAGAAUAUGUAGGGUGGCGGUGAAAUGGUUAUUUAUUGCAUGGAAUACCAAGUGCGAAGGCAGGUUACUACUUGUGGAUGGACGCUAAUGGACGAAAGCGUGGGGAGCGAACA
Molecule: ribosomal RNA, 422 nt
Filed under: uncultured bacterium
Lineage: Bacteria
Description: bacterial SSU rRNA
Rfam family: Bacterial small subunit ribosomal RNA
Source: RNAcentral